GCGAGAAUGGCUCAAUGGUAGAGCAUAAGUCUGAUAAACUUACGGUUAUUGGUUCGAAUCCAAUUUUUUGCACAA
This 75-nucleotide transfer RNA is filed under the name Bacillota bacterium. Its description in RNAcentral is "tRNA-Ile". It matches the Rfam family "tRNA". From Rfam's summary of the family: Transfer RNA (tRNA) molecules are approximately 80 nucleotides in length. Their secondary structure includes four short double-helical elements and three loops (D, anti-codon, and T loops). Further hydrogen bonds mediate the characteristic L-shaped molecular structure. tRNAs have two regions of fundamental functional importance: the anti-codon, which is responsible for specific mRNA codon recognition, and the 3' end, to which the tRNAs corresponding amino acid is attached (by aminoacyl-tRNA synthetases). tRNAs cope with the degeneracy of the genetic code in two manners: having more than one tRNA (with a specific anti-codon) for a particular amino acid; and 'wobble' base-pairing, i.e. permitting non-standard base-pairing at the 3rd anti-codon position. Lineage: Bacteria; Bacillati; Bacillota. The record is from RNAcentral.